Equus caballus (horse) is the source of this 4270-nucleotide long non-coding RNA. The record is from Ensembl. NCBI's taxonomy places the organism in Eukaryota, Metazoa, Chordata, Mammalia, Perissodactyla, Equidae.
CUUUCUCACAGCAUGGUAUUCGUCAUUGUUUUGUUUGCGAGCAUCUAUAUAUGCCGUGGAAGUUCUGGGGAGAGAGUUUCAGAAAAAGAAAACUGAAACUAAGAAGGAAAUCAAAAGCAAAAAGCCAGAAACUACUUCUUUAGCCCUUUUCUUUAUGAUCUCAGGACUUCAGGGACCUUGAAAGAUUGAUUUCCUCUCACUCAAGUUUCUUAUAAAAUUAGCUUUGGCUCAUACAUCUGUAACACAGUAGUUAAUUUUACAAGAUAAGCAGUACAGGGGAAAUGUAUCUGAGGGGAAAAUCGAGUGCUGGAAGCUCGAGAGACACUUAUAAGGUCACAAAACAAAGCCGCAUCCACCUGCCUGUAAUGGUUCUGGAGACUGUACCAGCCACGGCAAUGGAAGUAUUAACCAGUUCUUCAUCUUCACAGCUACUUAUGCCAUUCCUGGAGACUAAAUGUGCUUUCAGAUAAGGACCAUUGGCUAUCUGAGCUGGAAGGAAAAUUACAGUCUUUUUAAUUCAAUCCUUUCACUUUUUAGAAGGAGUCCCUGAGGCUCAGAAAGGCCCCUAAAGAUCCAGCAGUUUCUUUGGGAGCAGAGCUGGAAUUAGAACCAAGUGUCUCGACUAAUCUAGAUUCCUAAUCUGGAGCUCCUUAUACUCAGAGUGACUAAAAACCAGAAUGAUUUCUCACUUAUACACUCAGAGAAAGUCUCUGUGAAUUAAUUAAUCUUUUUAUUGGGAUAUGUUAAUCUUUUAAAACAUGCAGAAGACUCAUUUUACUUCAAUAUAUGUCAGCUUUGGGAAAAUGUUCACAAAUAAACUUCCCUAAGAAGCAACUUGGAGAUGUCUUCUGAACAGUUUGAUGAGACUGGCCUGUAAAACUGCUCAGUGGUCCACAGAUUACGAAUUUUGAAGUGACUAUUAACUAGAACUAUUAAAUUUCCACCUGAUUAUCAAAAUGCUGUGUUAAUCAACUUGCUUCAACAAAAUUCCCUUCAAGUCAGUCAAAUAAGUGGGGUUUCUCUCUGUUGUGCUCCAAGUGAUUGCAGUAGUUCAACAGGCAAGUUCUGAGGGUACAGCAUUCCUAUGGAACACACAAGGCUACUUAUCCCCAUCUCCCUUUGAUGCUUUUCCCUAAAACAUGGACUUAGCAUUUCCCAAGUGUGUCCCUUCGAAUGUUCACUUGGAUUUGAAAAGAUGAUUCCAUGGUCAGGUAAGUUUAAGAAACAUAGUUAACCUAGUUUCUUUUAUUAUGCUAAUUUGAUUCUUUACUCAUCAACAAAUAUUUGUUCAGCGCCUACUAUGUGUCAGGCACUAUUUUAGGUGCUUAGGACCCAGAGGUGAAGAAAAAGGACACAAAUCUCUGUUCUCGUGGAGCUUAUAGACAACACAAUGUAUGUAGCUUUUUCCUUCUGUUGAAUUAAUUCUUGAGUUAAUGCCCUCUUAAGAAUUGAUUCUUAAGUUAAAUUCCCAGAAAUGGGACAAUGAAUUGCGUAAUUAAUAAUUUGCAGUAAUAAUAAGUGCUAUGAAGGAAAAACCCAAAGUGCUAUGGGAGGAUAUAAUAAGAGGAUUUAUUAGGGACUUGUUACAAGAGUCUCUUAUGGAGGGAUGCUCACCUUAAUGAGAUGCUGAAUCUGGCUGAGGGUAGAGAGAACUUGAUGUUUUGAAAGCCCCUCCUGAUGCGUCCAGUCUCUUCCACAGUGUUCCCUUUUCUUUGUGACAAUCCUACCACACCCUGGAGCUCCAUUCCUGGGACAGCAAAAACCCAGCACAGUCAACUACCGUGGCCUCAGGCAGUUCUUCCCAUCCCCAGGUGUUCUAGAUGAGCAACAAGCAGCAAUUGGACCUAUAUAGGCAGGGCCAAAUGACAGAAAUUUAGUCAGGAAGGAGUGACUCAAGGCUCUCACCAUUAAAGACUGACAUUUCCUUUAAACUUGACAUCUAGGCAAACUUUUUCUGAAAUGUAAAAAAUAUUCACUUUUGCGUCAAAAACCAUGAAAGUGUUCAUAUCCUUUGACUCAGCAAUCCCCCUCCUGGAAAUUAAACUUAAGAAUUAAUUCAAGAGAAGAAUAAAGCUACAUACACUAAGUUGAUCAUUAUAAGUUAAGUAUAACAAUAAGGAGAAAAAAAGCAAAUAAUAAAAAUAUCCUACAGUUGGGAAACUGUUAGAUUGUGGUAUAUUAACUUGUUAGAAUUAUUAACUAGUGGCCAUUAUGUCAACUAGGGAAAAAUACGAAUGAAGUAAUGGCAAGUGAAAAAGCAGAAUACAAAAUUGUAUGCGAAGGAAUGUUAUAUAAAAAUGGGUAUGCAAAACACAGAUGACAAGGUAAAACGGAAAAGUGAAAUCAAUUUGCUAGGGUGGUAGGACAACAGGAUAGAAACUCAUUAUGAACUAGCUUAAGCAAAAAGGAAAAAUUCAUUAGCUCAAAUAACCAAGCCUUAGGCAGAGCCGGAGUGGCGCUGGCCUUAGAGCUGUCUUGCAAGAGGGACACAAAUUGCCAUCAGGACUUUGUGUUACUCUCUCUUCACUUCUCUCUGCAGAGAAGCCUCUUUUCUCUCAAACCAGCUUCUUCCCAAGAUGAGGAGAUCCUCAUCUUCCCCAAAUGAGUUUAGAUCCCUCUAAACUGACACUCUUAAUAUAAGCUGUUGACCUUAAACAAAUAGACAGUUAUUUCUCCAGCAAAAAUGGGGUUUAUUGGGAAUCAGCAAAGAAUUACAAUUCCAGGCCUGCGACCACGGUGAGCCACAUGCAAGUCCCAAGCAGCAGGAGGAGAAACUUUUUUAUAGAGGGGAAGAGGAAGUGGGGAGGGCUAUAAUAAACCGAGGCCAGUGGAGGAGACUAGGAGUUCCAAGCCUACUGGCUUUUCAUUGGCUGAGUUGUGAGUCUCUCAUUGGCUGAGCUUCUUUUUGAUCAAGAAGAGAAGUCGUUCAGGUUCUCACGUUCUGCUUCUGGGGGGUAGGGGGCAUGGGUUCACCUGUUCGGAUCCCGGGUGCGGACAUGGCACCACUUGGCAAAAGCCAUGCUGUGGUAGGCGUCCCACGUAUAAAGUAGAGGAAGAUGGGCACGGAUGUUAGCUCAGGGCCAGUCUUCCUCAGCAAAAAGAGGAGGAUUGGCAGUAGUUAGCUCAGGGCUAAUCUUCCUCAAAAGAAAAAAAGAAGAGAAGUCUUUCUCCUUCUUCGGCUCCGCUAUGAUAUAGGGCACGAGAGCUCCUUCUUUCGGCCUCCCCACUCCACUUUAAUGAGGUUUCUGUUUGUUAAUUUCCACAGUUUCAUCCAGGAUGAAAAAUGCUUGCUCAGAUCCAGUUUGAGAACAGCUCUGGGGAAGGGUUGUGAUUGGCUUGGCUUCAGUCACGUGCCCAUCCUGGGCCAACAUGGCCAGGCUACCAGGAUUGGCACCUACCUCCGAACCAAGCACGUGCUCAAGGAACCAGGGUCAUUCAAGAAGACAGUAACUUCCAUUUGGAUCCAGUGUCUAGAGGAAGAGGGGAGCAUUUUCCUAAAAGGAGAGAGGUGCUGCUGUCAGUGGAAAUUAACCUGCCUAUAGUUCAAUUUAACAUUUUAGGAAGACAUUUCUUCUCUUAGUACUGCUCCCAAUAGCAGCCUGUGAUUUCCUGGCAGCAUGCUUUGUUAUAAGGCCACAUGGUAUAGUGGACAGGGCACUACACCAAAUGCCAAGAAAAUGGAUUCUCCUAGCUCUACCAUGAAUCAGCUGUGUGUCCUUGGGCUAGUUCUUAAACCUCUCUGAAUUUCAGUUUCUUUAUCCUGGCCAGAAUAUCUUGAAGGCAGGAACUUAGUCUAUCUGAAAUGGAAAUUUGCAUUUGAGAACAAUCCCUGGGGCUUGGGUUAGGCAGAGGUAGAAGCUGAACUAUAACAUGGUUGCAACGGAGGCCUCAGCUAGUCUCAUGGGGAGCUCUGGGCUUAGGAUGACUUUUCAGGGUUGUCACAAAUUUCAGUAAGUGGACCUACUUUAUAUGCCCAUGUAGACUGGAUGAGGCUAUUCCUAGGGUAGUACCACGAACCUGGGCGGGGCAAUUUCCUCAACCUCAGGCAAUUCCUGGAGAGGGGUUCAGCUAAGAGCUGAUGGCAGCCAAUACACCUAGCUGCUAGGAGAACAAAUGCCUUGGUCCUGAAGGAGGGUAUCUGGGAACCACACUACAGCGUUCACUACAAUCAAUAUACUUAUAGCACCAAUAGGUACAGUGCCUGGCACAGGGUAGGUGCUCAUUAAAUAUUGGUUUAAUGAAUAAAUUAUAUAAAAGAGAAGGUGAGGAU